GUCACUUACCUCGAAUUGGCUCAAAACUCAACCUGAUACCAUGCUCUUGCGACGAGUACUCAACUCCAAAUAGCCCAAAUAUAUUCAAUUCAAUUGCAUAUUUUAAAUAACACUUCAAGUAACCGAUUCUACAAUUAAACUUUAAGCUAAUACGCGAAAUUAUGUGAAAUGGCCAAAACGCCCCUCAGACCCAUGUCUCGUAAUCGGGUGAGAUUUAUAUUUUUAGAAACCUCGUAAUUUCACGAGUCUAUACAUAUCAAGAAUACUGAAAUCAGAGUCCAAAUGGCCCUUCAAUUCCUUAAUUAAAUGUCUCUUAAUCUCAAGCUCUAAUUACCCAUUCCAAAUUUCUCGCCAUUAAUUAGGUCUUUAAUCACAUAAAAACGAGUUAUGAAGUCAAGAGCGUUGCCUCCAAGUGAUUCCCCUUUGUUAUCCUAAAAAAUCCCUUUCAAAAGCUUCAAACCCGGAUAAAAAUGGUGAAAGAAUAGCCAAUUUUCGCAAAGACAACUAUUUAUAUGCUCUGCCCAACGAUUUUUGUAUUUGCGACACAGGAACCAUAUCUGCAGUCCCGCUUCUGUGGACACGACGUCGCAUCUGCGACUUUCAUUAAAAAGCCCAGAGACCGUAUCUGCGGUAUAGGUUCCUGCAUACUGAAGGAGAAGCCAAAAAGGGGCCAUGUUUGGUUUAGCAACAGAAUUGAACCUUGCUCAGGUCACGUGGAAUGUCAUUGGGCCUACAUUGAUGCCCAUAGCAUUCGGCCAAUCCAAGCCCCUUUGUUUCAGACUCAUGCAUGGAGCACAAUAUAUGGAAAUACAAGAUCAUAUAUCCAACCAUCACACCAAAGAGUGAUCAAAUCAAAUUAUACAAAAUCCAACAUCUGCUUAUCUUCACUGAGUCAGUCAGAAUUGUUACAAUAAUAGCCUUAGCUGAAUAUUACAAUAAGAACUAACUAUACAACACUAAACUUCAUAAAUCAGUAUUCCCAUUUUGUCUCAUAUUUGCUUAACAUUGCAUAACCGAGAUCGAAUCACAAAAUUAACCUACUUACAUACAAGAGUAUUACACAGAUUACCAACUAUAAAAUCCAUAAUUUUCAAACUUAGUUGACUAUAUAGAUUUCAACAUGUGAUAUUACUCAAAGAUAGGAAUCAGCCAAUACACAAAGCGCUUAUGUUCAGGAAACUCAAAAAUCUAGUAUCUCAUUUUAGUUAAGUUGAACGUGUAUUGUGUUCAGUACUUAAGCUAAAUCGAAGCAUAUACAUUCAAAUAUCAAUAAAUAGACUUAGACAAAUAAGUGAUCUGCUACGAUAGAGUGAUGGAUGCAUCUAAAAUACACAUGAGGUAGUAACAAACGAGCACUUAUGAACCAAACAGACAUAACAACACAUCUGGAAGAAAGACAAGAAAAGAGAAGGAGGUUUCCAACUUUCAGAAAGAAAAAUUGAAGUAUGAUAAUCUGUUUUCAAUCAGUCUCAAAAUGAAAGAAAGAAAAUCUGAAUUUUAGAGGUUUCUUGGUGUAAGAAUCCGCCUCAGUCCCCAAAAUGAGAGGAAAGAAACCUUAAACUAUUGUUGAGAUUUUGGGUGUAGUUGAUAGUCCCAUUGCUCGAGGGCGAGCAAGAGCUUAAGUGUGGGUGUUGAUGUUUAGCUUAAACUAUAUAUAUUUAUAUGCAUCCCGCCUCGCAUUUUACUCAUAUUUUGCAGAUUUCGGAUGUAAGAUGUAAUGAUUUAUCGUAGUUCGUGGUAUUUUUAUGCGUAGGAAUCAUCCAGUGACAAUAUAGAAUGAAGGUGCGAGAUUGAAGGUAAAAAGGAGCGAAAUAGAAAAAAUGCCACAGAGUAGGGCCCAGGCUAGCUUGGGGCACUACCUGUGGCGUAGAAGGCGGAAUACUAAAAUGUUCCGGCGCCAGGGCUAGCACCGAAUGUUACCCUAGGCGGUGGUGACGGAAAAAUUCUUCUAGUUCAUCAGUGGCUAAAAC
RNAcentral lists this long non-coding RNA (1970 nucleotides) under Nicotiana benthamiana. RNAcentral's name for it is "long non-coding RNA (NBEN_LNC024314)". The record is from RNAcentral. Lineage: Eukaryota; Viridiplantae; Streptophyta; Magnoliopsida; Solanales; Solanaceae.